CUUCAUUCCAGACACCGAGGUUUGAUCAUCUGACCUUCCUUCUCUGACGCAAGCAGCCUGUUUCAUCAUGAAGAUUUCGAUCUUCUGUUUUCUUCUUCCUGCUAUUCUUUGGGCAAGUGACAGCAAUUCACUCUUCAAAGCUCUCGAUCUUGAUGGCAACGGUAUUCUGCAGCGGAAUGAAGCGAUGGAUUACUUUACCCAAAAGGACACAAAUGAUGAUGGAGAAAUCUCACCUGAAGAGUACAAAAUGAAAAUCGUGGGAAUUUGGCAUGAUUGACGAACUGCAGGCCUUAAAUGAAUAAUACGCCUAAUGUAAACUGUACACGCAAGAACCUAAAAAUAAAAUUUCACAUUCUCCAAG
Molecule: long non-coding RNA, 361 nt
Organism: Pomacea canaliculata
Lineage: Eukaryota; Metazoa; Mollusca; Gastropoda; Architaenioglossa; Ampullariidae
Exons: 5
Source: RefSeq, a predicted model, not a curated record